AUGGCUCAGGACGAACGCUGGCGGCGUGCCUAAUACAUGCAAGUCGAGCGAACAGAGAAGGAGCUUGCUCCUUCGACGUUAGCGGCGGACGGGUGAGUAACACGUGGGCAACCUACCUUAUAGUUUGGGAUAACUCCGGGAAACCGGGGCUAAUACCGAAUAAUCUGUUUCACCUCAUGGUGAAACACUGAAAGACGGUUUCGGCUGUCGCUAUAGGAUGGGCCCGCGGCGCAUUAGCUAGUUGGUGAGGUAACGGCUCACCAAGGCGACGAUGCGUAGCCGACCUGAGAGGGUGAUCGGCCACACUGGGACUGAGACACGGCCCAGACUCCUACGGGAGGCAGCAGUAGGGAAUCUUCCACAAUGGGCGAAAGCCUGAUGGAGCAACGCCGCGUGAGUGAAGAAGGAUUUCGGUUCGUAAAACUCUGUUGUAAGGGAAGAACAAGUACAGUAGUAACUGGCUGUACCUUGACGGUACCUUAUUAGAAAGCCACGGCUAACUACGUGCCAGCAGCCGCGGUAAUACGUAGGUGGCAAGCGUUGUCCGGAAUUAUUGGGCGUAAAGCGCGCGCAGGUGGUUUCUUAAGUCUGAUGUGAAAGCCCACGGCUCAACCGUGGAGGGUCAUUGGAAACUGGGAGACUUGAGUGCAGAAGAGGAUAGUGGAAUUCCAAGUGUAGCGGUGAAAUGCGUAGAGAUUUGGAGGAACACCAGUGGCGAA
RNAcentral lists this ribosomal RNA (719 nucleotides) under Lysinibacillus fusiformis. Its description in RNAcentral is "bacterial SSU rRNA". It matches the Rfam family "Bacterial small subunit ribosomal RNA", at positions 19 to 719 of the family's 1533-position model. The record is from RNAcentral. Lineage: Bacteria; Bacillati; Bacillota; Bacilli; Caryophanales; Bacillaceae.